CCGAACUAGAUUGUGCAGACAGUAAUGAAGCUGUUUCCAUUGCCGUGGCCAAAGUAACUGAAACUUUUGGUGAACUUGCCAAUUGUCUAAGCAAUUGUCAGGCAAAGCUUCCUAACCCUACAAUUGCGCUUUCACAGAAGACGCCAAUGAAGAGUGAGGCAGAGUUACAUGAAGAGGACUCUAACAAUGAAGAGGACCUCUAUGCUUCCGUUUUUGUCCAGCAGAUGUUUCACAAUUUUAGAGAAGCUAACUUUAUGCAAUAAUGGGAAAUUUUUAUUCACUGUGGAUCAACUCAAGUCUGACCCGGAUACCUGGAGGGAAAGAAUAAAAUCCGGCAGAGUUUUUGCGGUAUCUUCUGUUGAUGGGCGUAACAGAUCUGCAUCUCUCUCGAUGAAGGAUGGACAAGUGUACCUUCACUGCUUGAAAGAUGAAGAAGCUCCACUGGUUAGCUGCCAAAUUGAGGUACAAUGCGUUCUUUUUUUUCAUUUUUGCA
Molecule: long non-coding RNA, 493 nt
Organism: Macrobrachium nipponense
Lineage: Eukaryota; Metazoa; Arthropoda; Malacostraca; Decapoda; Palaemonidae
Exons: 3
Source: RefSeq, a predicted model, not a curated record